This is a long non-coding RNA of Gadus morhua (Atlantic cod), 2589 nucleotides long. The record is from Ensembl. NCBI's taxonomy places the organism in Eukaryota, Metazoa, Chordata, Actinopteri, Gadiformes, Gadidae.
AUGAGGGAUCAUUUAGAACAAGACAGCCUGCCCGUCAAGGGGCACGGGAAUCCCAUCAGCCAUGAGUGCCUUGGACAUAACGGUAGCAGGUGCUCAAGUGUGGCAAGUGGGCUAAACGGUUCAGAAACGAGUAUAUUUUUAACAAAACUGCACGAUGAGAUCGACUUCGGUGAGGUAGAUGAGAGGGUUCAAGAACGCGUCCUCCAGACUAAAGUCAAGGGGCACGUGAAUCCCAUCAGCCAUGAGUGCCUUGGACAUAACGGUAGCAGGUGCUCAAGUGUGGAAAGUAGGCUAAACGGUUCAGAAACGAUAUUUUCAACAAAACUGCACGAUGAGAUCGACUUUGGUGCGGUAGAUGAGAGGGUUCAAGAACGCGUCCUCCAGACUAAAGUCAAGGGGCACGGGAAUCCCAUCAGUCAUGAGUGCCUUGGACAUAACGGUAGCAGGUGCUCAGGUGUGGCAAGUGGGCUAAACGGUUCAGAAACUAGUAUAUUUUUAACAAAACUGCACGAUGAGAUCGACUUUGGUGAAGUAGUAGACGAGAUGGUUCAAGAACAUUUCCUCCAGACUAAAGUCGAGCCAUUUUUAGAAAAACUUCAUCAGCAAGCCACUAACGUUGUGGUCAGCUACAAUGACAUGGACGAGAAAGAGCUUAAGAGGUACCAGCAGACCAGACAUGUAAUCCUCCAUGUCCCAACCCUGCAAGAGCUCCUUCUAAAGAUCGGCUUUAGCAAAAAUAUGGAAGACCUUCAGAGCUACCUGAUUGCCGCCGACCGGACGUGCUUGUUGUCUGAGAACGAAGCCCUGAAGCUGGAGCUGAACGACGCUCAGAGCAGACACCAGACGGUGGUCAGCGGCCUUCACUCCUCCCUCCAGUCAGUCGAGCAUGAGAACAAGGGAGCCCAGUACACUUUGCACCAGAACAUCAGACACCAACAGGACAGGGUGAUUUUGAUGGAGGGAAAGCUAAGUGAAUCCGAGAGGCAGGUCAUCUCACUGCAGCGGUAUCUACUGGAAAGCACCGACAAAGCUCAGAUUCUGCAGAAGACCCUGAGCAGCUGCAAGUCGACCCUACAGUCUGCAGAGCAGGACAUGGAACUGACAAAGCAGAGAGGACUCGAUCUGCAAGCUGCACACAGGGCCUCACAGGACAACAACCAAUCGCUGAGACGCAGCCUCCUCGGUGCCGAGGAGCACGCAAAGUCUCUCAGACACAGCGUCGGCGAACUCGAGCAGAAGAUCGAGCUCCAGCAGAAGAACCAAGCGUCCGAAGAAGAGGUGGUCAAAGCCCUGAGACGCAGGGUGGAUGAAUCGGAGGAGAAGGUCUCCUCCCUGGAGGGGAGCCUGAAGGCUUCUGAAGAGAGCGUCUCGUCACUCAGGCAGAGCCUGAGAGCAUCGGAAGAGAAGGCCGCCUGCCUCGGGCAGAGCCAGAGGACCUCCGAGGAGAGGUGUCGUUCUCUGCAGCUCAAACUCAACUCGGCCGAGGAGGCCGUCCGAGCGACCCGGGGCUCCCUCGCAGUGGCGGAGUCCGAGGCCGAGAGGCUGAAGGAGGCUCUGGGCUCCUUGGAAGACAAAACCCUGGCGCUGCAGGACACGUUACUGGCCAGUGAGAGCCACUCGAGCGGCGGCGCCGCUCAACGGCGAGCCCUGGAGCGGGGCAAGACGGAGGACCGAGAGAGCCUUCAGGUUCUGAUCCGCUCUCUCGUCGGCUGCGAGGAGGAGCAUCGCAGCCGAGCCAAGAGGCUGGACCUGGAGCUGAGGCUGACCAAGGAGCGGCUGGCCCUGCUGCAGGACAGCGGGAGCCGGACGGAGAGCCGCUACGCCCAGGAGACGGCUCGGCUCCAACACCAGCUCCUCAAGGCCGCCAACAAAGGAACGGCCGCCCAGAAGGAGCUCCGAGCCCACGUGGCCGAGCUAAACACCAAGUUGCUGAAGGCGCAAGCAAGUCAAAACAGAGAGCUGGAGGGGGUUGCAGUGGUUGAGAGGGAGCUGCAAGACACCAUCCUGGACCUCAGACAGGAGCUACACGUUCAAACCAAGGAGAAGGAAGGCGCCCUGCAGUGUCUCAGGAUGACACAGAGGGACCUCGCCGAGGUCCAGCACCACCUACAGGUAGACCUGCUGAAAUGCACCCACGGACGCGAGCCAGAAAGAGGACAGUCCACCGCCAGAGAAGCUGAGCAGAGGGUAAAACCGGACACCCCGAAAGCAACGCUGCGUUCCGUCGACCAUGAACACGUCCUGACCGACGGGCAAAGAAAGAUGGAGUCGGCAAAGGUACACGGUCACGGGCACAGUGUGAGGGAGGGACGCCGGGACGACUCCCCGUGUAGACCGCCCCGCUCGGCGUGGAGGGACACGCCCCCUCCCCCCGCCGACCCACCGGCCCCGAGCUGUGAUUCUACAGGGCCGUCUUCGCCAUGGUCCAACGGAACACCUUUGACUAUGGAUGGAAAGGGUGAGGCCUGUUGCCUUACUCAGCUGAAGCCUGCCGAAUACUUGCAGAAUCUACUAAAGGUGCAGAAAAAGCUCAGGGCACUGCAGUCGAUGGAUCGCCAGAAGACAAUGAACGAGAUGCGUCUGCCAUAA